CAACCUGCCGUCUACUCUUGGACAGCCUUCUGAAAGGAAGAUUAAUACAAGAUGGCAUCAUGAGUCCACAUGUUCACAUGAUUAAAGGUAUUCCGGUAGACGAUGGGGAUGCGUUCCAUUAGAUAGUAGGCGGGGUAACGGCCCACCUAGUCUUCGAUGGAUAGGGGUUCUGAGAGGAAGGUCCCCCACAUUGGAACUGAGACACGGUCCAAACUCCUACGGGAGGCAGCAGUGAGGAAUAUUGGUCAAUGGGCGAGAGCCUGAACCAGCCAAGUAGCGUGAAGGAUGACUGCCCUAUGGGUUGUAAACUUCUUUUAUAAAGGAAUAAAGUCGGGUAUGGAUACCCGUUUGCAUGUACUUUAUGAAUAAGGAUCGGCUAACUCCGUGCCAGCAGCCGCGGUAAUACGGAGGAUCCGAGCGUUAUCCGGAUUUAUUGGGUUUAAAGGGAGCGUAGAUGGAUGUUUAAGUCAGUUGUGAAAGUUUGCGGCUCAACCGUAAAAUUGCAGUUGAUACUGGAUAUCUUGAGUGCAGUUGAGGCAGGCGGAAUUCGUGGUGUAGCGGUGAAAUGCUUAGAUAUCACGAAGAACUCCGAUUG
RNAcentral lists this ribosomal RNA (595 nucleotides) under uncultured Bacteroidota bacterium. RNAcentral's name for it is "bacterial SSU rRNA". It matches the Rfam family "Bacterial small subunit ribosomal RNA", at positions 122 to 715 of the family's 1533-position model. The record is from RNAcentral. Lineage: Bacteria; Pseudomonadati; Bacteroidota.